Long non-coding RNA from Homo sapiens (human), 648 nucleotides. RefSeq lists it as uncharacterized. The transcript has 2 exons. NCBI's taxonomy places the organism in Eukaryota, Metazoa, Chordata, Mammalia, Primates, Hominidae. The record is from RefSeq and is a predicted model, not a curated record.
UGUGCACGUGCGUGCACACGUGUAUGUGGCUAAACAUGUCUGUGCACAUGUGUGUUGCUUCUCUGGCCAGGCCCGGCUGCCCCACUCAUGUGUGCACCCAGUUCCUCAUCACUGUCACCCCCGAGGCCCAGGGCCAGCAUCAGAGCGCCCAGGGCCAGCAUCAGAGCAUCCAUGGCUGCUCCCUAACCUCAGCCCUCCCUGCCCAGGGUGGUCCUGGGAUACACAUAGGGGUGGAGGGAAGUGACUGCUGCUGCUGCUGGAUCUCAGAAUACAAAAGCUAAUACUAUUACCUAAUGGUCUUUUUAGUGUCUCUAAUGGGCCUAGGGGAUGCCAAAUUCCAGGGUCCAGAAAGAGCUUGGGAUAAAAUGAAACUUCAAGGGGACGGCUUUGACCUGGGCUGAGUCUGCCUGUGCCGAGUCUGCCUGUGCCAUCCAACUGGAGUCUCAAGUCCUGAGGCAGGACGUCCAGAUGCCCCAGUGCAGGGUCCUCCUGAUCAACACCUGUCCCCCUGUACUCAUUAGCAACCUCACCCACCCUACUCUCAAAGCACACUUGGCUCUCAUAUCCAGGAGCUCUGCAUCUGUAGAUUCAGCAACAGCAGAUGGAAAAUAUUCAGAAAAUAAAUUGGAUGGUUAUAUUUCUAUUGAA